This is a long non-coding RNA of Oncorhynchus keta (chum salmon), 388 nucleotides long. RefSeq lists it as uncharacterized. Lineage: Eukaryota; Metazoa; Chordata; Actinopteri; Salmoniformes; Salmonidae. The transcript has 3 exons. The record is from RefSeq and is a predicted model, not a curated record.
ACAUAAACACACACAGACUAAAGGGUCUAGUGAAAGGCAGUACAUAAACACACACAGACUAAAGGGUCUAGUGAAAGGCAGUACAUGGGCAGUACAUAAACACACACAGACUAAAGGGUCUAGUGAAAGGCAGUACAUGGGCAGUACAUAAACACACACAGACUAAAGGGUCUAGUGAAAGGCAGUACAUAAACACACACAGACUAAAGGGUCUAGUGAAAGGCAGUACAUAAACACACACAGACUAAAGGGUCUAGUGAAAGGCAGUACAUAAACACACACAGACUAAAGGGUCUAGUGAAAGGCAGUACAUAAACACACACAGACUAAAGGGUCUAGUGAAAGGCAGUACAUAAACACACACAGACUAAAGGGUCUAGUGAAAGGC